UAAGCGACUAAGCGUACACGGUGGAUGCCUAGGCAGUCAGAGGCGAUGAAGGGCGUGCUAAUCUGCGAAAAGCGUCGGUAAGCUGAUAUGAAGCGUUAUAACCGACGAUACCCGAAUGGGGAAACCCAGUGCAAUACGUUGCACUAUCGUUAGAUGAAUACAUAGUCUAACGAGGCGAACCGGGGGAACUGAAACAUCUAAGUACCCCGAGGAAAAGAAAUCAACCGAGAUUCCCCCAGUAGCGGCGAGCGAACGGGGAGGAGCCCAGAGUCUGAAUCAGUUUGUGUGUUAGUGGAAGCGUCUGGAAAGUCGCACGGUACAGGGUGAUAGUCCCGUACACCAAAAUGCACAGGCUGUGAACUCGAUGAGUAGGGCGGGACACGUGACAUCCUGUCUGAAUAUGGGGGGACCAUCCUCCAAGGCUAAAUACUCCUGACUGACCGAUAGUGAACCAGUACCGUGAGGGAAAGGCGAAAAGAACCCCGGCGAGGGGAGUGAAAUAGAACCUGAAACCGUGUACGUACAAGCAGUGGGAGCACCUUCGUGGUGUGACUGCGUACCUUUUGUAUAAUGGGUCAGCGACUUAUAUUUUGUAGCAAGGUUAACCGAAUAGGGGAGCCGUAGGGAAACCGAGUCUUAACUGGGCGUCUAGUUGCAAGGUAUAGACCCGAAACCCGGUGAUCUAGCCAUGGGCAGGUUGAAGGUUGGGUAACACUAACUGGAGGACCGAACCGACUAAUGUUGAAAAAUUAGCGGAUGACUUGUGGCUGGGGGUGAAAGGCCAAUCAAACCGGGAGAUAGCUGGUUCUCCCCGAAAGCUAUUUAGGUAGCGCCUCGUGAACUCAUCUUCGGGGGUAGAGCACUGUUUCGGCUAGGGGGCCAUCCCGGCUUACCAAACCGAUGCAAACUCCGAAUACCGAAGAAUGUUAUCACGGGAGACACACGGCGGGUGCUAACGUCCGUCGUGAAGAGGGAAACAACCCAGACCGCCAGCUAAGGUCCCAAAGUCAUGGUUAAGUGGGAAACGAUGUGGGAAGGCACAGACAGCCAGGAUGUUGGCUUAGAAGCAGCCAUCAUUUAAAGAAAGCGUAAUAGCUCACUGGUCGAGUCGGCCUGCGCGGAAGAUGUAACGGGGCUAAACCAUGCACCGAAGCUGCGGCAGCGACACUUAGGUGUUGUUGGGUAGGGGAGCGUUCUGUAAGCCGUUGAAGGUGACCUGUGAGGGUUGCUGGAGGUAUCAGAAGUGCGAAUGCUGACAUAAGUAACGAUAAUGCGGGUGAAAAACCCGCACGCCGGAAGACCAAGGGUUCCUGUCCAACGUUAAUCGGGGCAGGGUGAGUCGACCCCUAAGGCGAGGCUGAAAAGCGUAGUCGAUGGGAAACAGGUUAAUAUUCCUGUACUUGGUGUUACUGCGAAGGGGGGACGGAGAAGGCUAGGCUGGCCGGGCGACGGUUGUCCCGGUUUAAGCGUGUAGGGGGAGUGACCAGGUAAAUCCGGUUGCUUAUCAACCCUGAGGCGUGAUGACGAUGCACCACGGUGCAGAAGCAGUUGAUGCCAUGCUUCCAGGAAAAGCCUCUAAGCAUCAGGUAACAUUAAAUCGUACCCCAAACCGACACAGGUGGUCAGGUAGAGAAUACUCAGGCGCUUGAGAGAACUCGGGUGAAGGAACUAGGCAAAAUGGUGCCGUAACUUCGGGAGAAGGCACGCUGGCGUUAGGUGAAAGGACUGGCUCCUGGAGCUGAAGCCAGUCGCAGAUACCAGCUGGCUGCAACUGUUUAAUAAAAACACAGCACUGUGCAAACACGAAAGUGGACGUAUACGGUGUGACGCCUGCCCGGUGCUGGAAGGUUAAUUGAUGGGGUCAGCCGCAAGGCGAAGCUCUUGAUCGAAGCCCCAGUAAACGGCGGCCGUAACUAUAACGGUCCUAAGGUAGCGAAAUUCCUUGUCGGGUAAGUUCCGACCUGCACGAAUGGCGUAAUGAUGGCCAGGCUGUCUCCACCCGAGACUCAGUGAAAUUGAACUCGCUGUGAAGAUGCAGUGUACCCGCGGCAAGACGGAAAGACCCCGUGAACCUUUACUAUAGCUUGACACUGAACAUUGAGCCUUGAUGUGUAGGAUAGGUGGGAGGCCUUGAAGUGUGGACGCCAGUCUGCAUGGAGCCAACCUUGAAAUACCACCCUUUAAUGUUUGAUGUUCUAACUCGGCCCCAUGAUCUGGGGUGAGGACAGUGUCUGGUGGGUAGUUUGACUGGGGCGGUCUCCUCCCAAAGAGUAACGGAGGAGCACGUAGGUUAGCUAAUCACGGUCGGACAUCGUGAGGUUAGUGCAAAGGCAUAAGCUAGCUUGACUGCGAGAGUGACGGCUCGAGCAGGUACGAAAGUAGGUCUUAGUGAUCCGGUGGUUCUGAAUGGAAGGGCCAUCGCUCAACGGAUAAAAGGUAACUCCGGGGAUAACAGGCUGAUACCGCCCAAGAGUUCAUAUCGACGGCGGUGUUUGGCACCUCGAUGUCGGCUCAUCACAUCCUGGGGCUGAAGUAGGUCCCAAGGGUAUGGCUGUUCGCCAUUUAAAGUGGUACGCGAGCUGGGUUUAGAACGUCGUGAGACAGUUCGGUCCCUAUCUGCCGUGGGCGUUGGAAGAUUGAGAGGGGCUGCUCCUAGUACGAGAGGACCGGAGUGGACGAAUCACUGGUGUUCGGGUUGUCAUGCCAAUGGCAUUGCCCGGUAGCUAAAUUCGGAAGAGAUAACCGCUGAAAGCAUCUAAGCGGGAAACUUGCCUCGAGAUGAGUCUUCCCUGGGGCUUAAAGCCCCCUGAAGGAACGUUAAAGACUAUGACGUUGAUAGGCUGGGUGUGUAAGUGCAGCGAUGUAUUGAGCUAACCAGUACUAAUGAUCCGUGAGGCUUAACCU
This 2904-nucleotide ribosomal RNA is filed under the name Yersinia pestis 1412. Its description in RNAcentral is "bacterial LSU rRNA". It matches the Rfam family "Bacterial large subunit ribosomal RNA". Lineage: Bacteria; Pseudomonadati; Pseudomonadota; Gammaproteobacteria; Enterobacterales; Yersiniaceae. The record is from RNAcentral.